Molecule: ribosomal RNA, 318 nt
Filed under: uncultured bacterium
Lineage: Bacteria
Description: bacterial SSU rRNA
Rfam family: Bacterial small subunit ribosomal RNA
Source: RNAcentral
AUUGAACGCUGGCGGCAUGCUUUACACAUGCAAGUCGAACGGGGUGAGGGGGCAACUCCUCAUUCAGUGGCGAACGGGUGAGUAAUGCAUCGGAACGUGUCCCGUAGUGGGGGAUAACUCGGCGAAAGCCGUGCUAAUACCGCAUAUGCUCUACGGAGGAAAGUGGGGGACCUGAAAGGCCUCACGCUAUGGGAGCGGCCGAUGUCCGAUUAGCUUGUUGGCGGGGUAANGGCCCACCAAGGCGACGAUCGGUAGCUGGUCUGAGAGGAUGAUCAGCCACACUGGGACUGAGACACGGCCCAGACUCCUACGGGAGGC